This 377-nucleotide ribosomal RNA is filed under the name uncultured eukaryote. RNAcentral's name for it is "partial 18S ribosomal RNA". It matches the Rfam family "Eukaryotic small subunit ribosomal RNA", at positions 592 to 976 of the family's 1831-position model. The record is from RNAcentral.
CAAUAGCGUAUAUUAAAGUUGUUGCAGUUAAAAAGCUCGUAGUUGGAUUUCGGGGCAGCCUGGCUGGUCCGCCGCAAGGCGAGUACUGGUCAGCCGCCCUUCCUCACGAAAGCCCCGACUGCUCUUUAUUGCAGUGGUCGGGUAGUUCGGGACGUUUACUUUGAAAAAAUUAGAGUGUUCAAGGCAGGCCUACGCCUGAAUACAUUAGCAUGGAAUAAUGGAAGAGGACCUCGGUCCUAUUUUGUUGGUUUCCAGGACCGAAGUAAUGAUUAAGAGGGACAGUUGGGGGCAUUCGUAUUUAAUUGUCAGAGGUGAAAUUCUCGGAUUUAUGAAAGACGAACAACUGCGAAAGCAUUUGCCAAGGAUGUUUUCAUUAA